GGGGGUUUCGUAUAAUUAUAGAAUCACGGAGUGGUUUGAGUAGGAAGGCACUUUACAGCUCAUCUCGUUCCACCCCUGCCAUGGUCCACUAGACCAGGUUGCUCCAAGUCCCGUCCAACCUGGCCUUAGACACUUCAGGGAUGGGGCAGCCACAUUUCCUCAUCUACUUGCUGACUUCUGCUCUCUCUGCAUAAACCUAACAUGAAUCUAGUACAGAUCAUUAAGCAUAUAAUGUAGGAAAAAAACCAUAGCAUACCCAAAUAAUUGUAGUAUUUAUGUAGCAAUGCCGUUACUUUUCUUUGUUCCCAACUAACAGUCAACUGCUGAUCAGUGUUGGUUGCAGCAGUGUGUGUCCUGGCAGGGCUGUGAAGCUCUGCUGGUUUUGGCUGGGGUGGGGUUAAUUUUCUUCACAGUGGCUGGUGUGGGGCUGUGUUUUGGAUUUGUGCUCAACACAAGGCUGAUAAUAGAGAUGGUUUUGUUGUUUCUGAGCAGGGCUUACACAGAGCCAAGGCCUUUUCAGCUCCUUAUAUUGCCAUGCUGGCAAGGAAGUUGGGGGUGCAUGGGAAGCUGGGAGGAGGCACAGUUGAGACAGGUGACCCCAAAUGACCCAAGGGGAUAUUUCAUACCAUACAACAUCAUGCUCAGUAUAUGAAGCUGGGGGUAGGGGGGAGAAGAAGGAAAGGGGUGACGUUUGGAGUGAUGGCAUUUGUCUUCCCGGGUCAUGGCAUGAUGGGGCCCUCCUCUCCUGGAAAUGGCUAAACACCUGCCUGCCCAUGGGAAACACCAGUUCCAAUGAAAACAUGCAUUUCUGCAUUAAUCCACUUAGAAAUCUGAACUACUGGUCUGAGAGGCUUUGCUGGAUACUUCGUUGGAACAGUAUCAUCAGCACAGAGCAGGAAAGUAAAGCAGAAAGAAGCUGCAAAUGCAGUCGUGGCAAGUAUGUUCUAUUCUCCACUUAAAUACAUUCAAGAAGGGUUUUGGUUCAGACCUGAGUGAAAACAAAGAAACAUUGGUGGAUUUAUCCUGUUUGUUGGUAUGUUUUGCAAAUAUAAAUGCCCCAAUACUUGACUUCCUUACCUACUUCAAACAGAACCAGUUUAUGUGAAACAACACAACUGGGUAAGGCAAAAGACAUCACUGCAUGGGACAGGAGUCCCAAAUCGGUGUCAUUUUCAUAGGGCAGUGAGUGAUUCCAGCCUUGAAUAUCAAGGCUUUGUUUAAGUUAGACACCAGUGGAAGAGUAGCUGGAUUGCUGCAACCUUUUGCUACUGUUUAAAAUGCGAUCCCUGUACGUCUUUCUCUCUGAUGUCCUCUACUUGCAGCUGCAAUAUCUCCUUGUUUGCCCUGCCUCUGCUAUUCAGCUGACUCCGUAGUAAGUGAAAUCAGCUUUCAGAGACUUGAAGUUUUGAUUCAUAUGAGCAAAGUGUGCAUGGAAAUGGGGGUGUGUGAGCACCAGAAGAAACAGCAGAACAAAGGUUAAAAGAAUGGCCUGUGUUGAUAAUCAAAAACACAGCAGUAAAGGCAGUAAAAUCAAGAAACACUUUCUGUCAAACCAGGCAAAUCUGCACACUGGAGCACAGACAACUCGUCAGCAGAAGAGCCUACCAUCUGACAGCUGGACAUGGCAGGAAGAUACAGCACAUCGCAAAUGCCAUUUAUUUCCUGUUGGUCCCACUGGAAGCAAACCAUAAAAUAAGGAAGCACGGAAAAUGGGCACAUAAGUUCCAUAAGGGGCAUGGAGGUAGAAGUAACUGGACUGUGAAGCACAAGGAUGCCACCACAGUCAGUGCUGGGUCCCACUAGCUUUCGUACCUGCUAGUGGGCAGAAAAGACCCCUCCAAGGUGGCUUGCCACUGGCAGUGAAAAGUAACACAAGAGAUACCAAAAGGGUGGGAUGGUUGGUGCCCAUCUUCCCUUAUGCUGCUUGCAAUGUGGGUCCUGGAAAAACCUGUGGAGCACACACACGCCUCAGGAGCUGUGAGUAUAAGGUUUUGACAGUGUGAACCAAGUUGAAUAUUGAGUUGCUUGACUGCAGUCCAGGAUGAAGAGUCCUGCUACACUGGCUCACGUGAUCUCUUGGGGUGCUCUCAGACCCUCUAUGGGCUCUGCGGCUCUGCAGGGCUGGGAUUGGGAGGGUGAGGGGGGAGCUGGAAAGUCCCAGAGCUGCAGCCAAGCUGAAGAUCCUGCAGUGAGAAUGUGGAGCAGCUUCCCAUGUCGGCGAUGGCAAGAUGCAGAGCUGCUGCUGAGAGAGCAGAGCUGGCAGUGAAAUAAAGCUUAUGGGUCUGGAGCUGAAAUCACUGAGGGGCUGGGGUAGGGAUGGUGGCUGGGAUAGGGAUGGUGUUCUUUGGAUAGGGACUGUAGGGCCUGAGCAAGCAGAAUUGCUGAUUUUUAAUGCACAGCCUCAGAAACGGGGGGGUUUGGAGGUGCAGUGGUGCCUGCAGCUCCUUUGUGCCAAGGCACCAGCAAACCUUAGUCCUGCCCCUGAUUUCCCAGGCCAUGGCAGGGAAGGAAUAUUUUGAGGUAAAAAUGAGGGCCUGGAUUGUGGACAAGUAAGAACAACCAUGAAGGUAGAACUUGGGGGGGAAUGUGCAA
This is a long non-coding RNA of Lepidothrix coronata (blue-crowned manakin), 2592 nucleotides long. RefSeq lists it as uncharacterized. NCBI's taxonomy places the organism in Eukaryota, Metazoa, Chordata, Aves, Passeriformes, Pipridae. The transcript is spliced from 2 exons. The record is from RefSeq and is a predicted model, not a curated record.